Molecule: ribosomal RNA, 165 nt
Filed under: Pseudosperma lepidotellum
Lineage: Eukaryota; Fungi; Basidiomycota; Agaricomycetes; Agaricales; Inocybaceae
Description: partial 25S large subunit ribosomal RNA
Rfam family: Eukaryotic large subunit ribosomal RNA
Source: RNAcentral
UUGACCUCAAAUCAGGUAGGACUACCCGCUGAACUUAAGCAUAUCAAUAAGCGGAGGAAAAGAAACUAACAAGGAUUCCCUUAGUAACUGCGAGUGAAGUGGGAAAAGCUCAAAUUUAAAAUCUGGCAGUCAUUUGGCUGUCUGAGUUGUAAUCUAGAGAAGUGU